Long non-coding RNA from Cavia porcellus (domestic guinea pig), 310 nucleotides. RefSeq lists it as uncharacterized. The transcript has 3 exons. The record is from RefSeq and is a predicted model, not a curated record. NCBI's taxonomy places the organism in Eukaryota, Metazoa, Chordata, Mammalia, Rodentia, Caviidae.
GAUGAAGCACCUUUAGUUGUCUGCUGAGGACUGCCUGAGAUCCCAGAGCCUGUCUCCACAUCCUUUCGUGUAAAGUAUUACAGAGUCUAUCAGCUGCAGUAUCCUUGGAGGUGGCCAUGCAUGGACUCCAGGGACUUGCCCCUCACUCUGGUGACAGAGUGGACUCCACUCAUAGGUUGCAGGUGCAUUUGUACAGCAAAUGCUAACUUUGCUGAUGAUGAAGUAGAAGAGGACAUAGAAAAACAGUAAGCCAGCUCUAGUCUUUCAGGAACCAGUCACAUUUCCACUGUCUCCUGGCAGCAACGUCUCA